Molecule: ribosomal RNA, 125 nt
Filed under: Chaetothyriales sp.
Lineage: Eukaryota; Fungi; Ascomycota; Eurotiomycetes; Chaetothyriales
Description: partial small subunit ribosomal RNA
Rfam family: Eukaryotic small subunit ribosomal RNA
Source: RNAcentral
CCUUUGUACACACCGCCCGUCGUUAUUUCCGAUCGAAUGGCUCAGUGAGGCCUUGGGACUGGCUCAGAGAGGUCGGCAACGACCACUCAGAGCCGGAAACUUGGUCAAACUUGGUCAUUUAGAGG